Molecule: ribosomal RNA, 1060 nt
Filed under: Dothideomycetes sp. genotype 35
Lineage: Eukaryota; Fungi; Ascomycota; Dothideomycetes
Description: eukaryotic LSU rRNA
Rfam family: Eukaryotic large subunit ribosomal RNA (bases 473-1060)
Source: RNAcentral
GGAUCAUUACAAGAACGCCCGGGCUUCGGCCUGGUUAUUCAUAACCCUUUGUUGUCCGACUCUGUUGCCUCCGGGGCGACCCUGCCUUCGGGCGGGGGCUCCGGGUGGACACUUCAAACUCUUGCGUAACUUUGCAGUCUGAGUAAACUUAAUUAAUAAAUUAAAACUUUUAACAACGGAUCUCUUGGUUCUGGCAUCGAUGAAGAACGCAGCGAAAUGCGAUAAGUAAUGUGAAUUGCAGAAUUCAGUGAAUCAUCGAAUCUUUGAACGCACAUUGCGCCCCCUGGUAUUCCGGGGGGCAUGCCUGUUCGAGCGUCAUUUCACCACUCAAGCCUCGCUUGGUAUUGGGCAACGCGGUCCGCCGCGUGCCUCAAAUCGUCCGGCUGGGUCUUCUGUCCCCUAAGCGUUGUGGAAACUAUUCGCUAAAGGGUGUUCGGGAGGCUACGCCGUAAAACAACCCCAUUUCUAAGGUUGACCUCGGAUCAGGUAGGGAUACCCGCUGAACUUAAGCAUAUCAAUAAGCGGAGGAAAAGAAACCAACAGGGAUUGCUCUAGUAACGGCGAGUGAAGCAGCAAUAGCUCAAAUUUGAAAUCUGGCGUCUUCGACGUCCGAGUUGUAAUUUGUAGAGGAUGCUUCUGAGUGGCCACCGACCUAAGUUCCUUGGAACAGGACGUCAUAGAGGGUGAGAAUCCCGUAUGCGGUCGGAAAGGCGCUCUAUACGUAGCUCCUUCGACGAGUCGAGUUGUUUGGGAAUGCAGCUCUAAAUGGGAGGUAAAUUUCUUCUAAAGCUAAAUAUUGGCCAGAGACCGAUAGCGCACAAGUAGAGUGAUCGAAAGAUGAAAAGCACUUUGGAAAGAGAGUUAAAAAGCACGUGAAAUUGUUAAAAGGGAAGGGAUUGCAACCAGACUUGCUCGCGGUGUUCCGCCGGUCUUCUGACCGGUCUACUCGCCGCGUUGCAGGCCAGCAUCGUCUGGUGCCGCUGGAUAAGACUUGAGGAAUGUAGCUCCCUCGGGAGUGUUAUAGCCUCUUGUGAUGCAGCGAGCGCCGGGCGAGGUCCGC